This 266-nucleotide ribosomal RNA is filed under the name uncultured archaeon. Its description in RNAcentral is "partial 16S ribosomal RNA". It matches the Rfam family "Archaeal small subunit ribosomal RNA", at positions 715 to 982 of the family's 1478-position model. The record is from RNAcentral.
AGUCACUGACAUUAGAUACCCCCGGUAGUCCAGGGUGUAAACGCUGCAGACUUGGUGUUGGAAGUCCUUUGGGGGCAUUCAGUGCCGGAGAGAAGUUGUUAAGUCUGCUACUUGGGGAGUACGUCCGCAAGGAUGAAACUUAAAGGAAUUGGCGGGGGAGCACCGCAACGGGAGGAGCGUGCGGUUUAAUUGGAUUCAACACCGUAAAACUCACCAGGGAAGACUGUUACAUGAAAGCCGAGAUAAAGACUCUGCUAGAUUUUCAG